UACAGAGGUCCCGAGCGUUGUUCGGAUUCACUGGGCGUAAAGGGUGCGUAGGCGGUCGGGUAAGUCUGAUGUGAAAUCUCACAGCUUAACUGUGAAACUGCAUUGGAUACUAUUCGGCUUGAGAGUUGGAGGGGGGACUGGAAUUCUUGGUGUAGCAGUGAAAUGCGUAGAUAUCAAGAGGAACGCCAGUGGCGAAGGCGGCCUUCUGGACCAAUACUGACGCUCAUGCACGAAAGCGUGGGGAGCAAACAGG
Molecule: ribosomal RNA, 253 nt
Filed under: uncultured bacterium
Lineage: Bacteria
Description: partial 16S ribosomal RNA
Rfam family: Bacterial small subunit ribosomal RNA
Source: RNAcentral